AUUGAACGCUGGCGGAAUGCUUUACACAUGCAAGUCGAACGGCAGCACGGACUUCGGUCUGGUGGCGAGUGGCGAACGGGUGAGUAAUGUAUCGGAACGUGCCCAGUCGUGGGGGAUAACGUAGUGAAAAUUACGCUAAUACCGCAUACGAUCUAUGAAUGAAAGCGGGGGAUCGCAAGACCUCGCGCGAUUGGAGCGGCUGAUAUCAGAUUAGGUAGUUGGUGGGGUAAAGGCCCACCAAGCCAACGAUCUGUAGCUGGUCUGAGAGGACGACCAGCCACACUGGAACUGAGACACGGUCCAGACUCCUACGGGAGGCAGCAGUGGGGAAUUUUGGACAAUGGGCGAAAGCCUGAUCCAGCCAUUCCGCGUGCAGGAUGAAGGCCCUCGGGUUGUAAACUGCUUUUGUACAGAACGAGAAGGUUUCUACUAAUACUAGGAGCUCAUGACGGUACUGUAAGAAUAAGCACCGGCUAACUACGUGCCAGCAGCCGCCGUAA
Molecule: ribosomal RNA, 500 nt
Filed under: uncultured bacterium
Lineage: Bacteria
Description: partial 16S ribosomal RNA
Rfam family: Bacterial small subunit ribosomal RNA
Source: RNAcentral